This is a non-coding RNA of Zootoca vivipara (common lizard), 9150 nucleotides long. Lineage: Eukaryota; Metazoa; Chordata; Lepidosauria; Squamata; Lacertidae. The record is from RefSeq and is a predicted model, not a curated record.
CUCUUUAUCCAUCACUGGUAGCCACCUUAGAAGCAGCUGCUUGAGUGGAAGUUUAAACUAAGAGAGUUCAUUAGCUUUUAAUGUCUGAGCUCAAUGUGUACAAAUAAGAUAUUUAGUUAGGUUUGAGUUCAGAAAAUUAGCAGUCUGCUAAUGUUUAUAUUCACACAAGCAGAUUAUGAAUAUGACUAAGUAAAUUAGAAUAUCUUGUUCAAUAUCUUGGUCAAUAAGCUAAUUGUAUUCAGCAGUACAUAUGGCACUGAGCAAUUCUGAGCUAAGCAAAGGGGAGAAAAAAUGUACAGUAAUGACAAAUUUCUUAAGUGUUUUAAUGAGUAAAAAAUGGUUUCAAUUACUGUAGUUACAAAAUGCUAUGAGGUUAUCCUUGCACUCUUGCAUCUACUGAGGGGUGUUGCAGCCACAUGUCUUGUCAUUCAUUUUAGUGUGCUCACAUUGACACACUGUUACAGUUACUAGUUACAGAACUAGCUACUGUAAGUGUACUAGACAGGCCUACAGUUUACUUACAUUCUGGCAUGUUCUCCACACAGGUAUGCACUAUUGAUCAGCAGGCAUGAAAUAUGCUGGGAGUUGUGCAAUUGAUAAAGAAUACUAAGCAGAAAUGUCUUCCUGAAACAUUAGCAGAAAUAAAAACUUCCCCGUGGCCUUCAUGCAGGAUAAACAAUGCUAAAAUUGGGCAUGUCCUCAUCUUUUCAGUGCCAGUUGGUUAUAAUGAUUCUGUUUACAUGUACUUCAUACCUUGUACAGGAAGUGCCUAAGAAAAUGUUUGAUUUCCCCACCUUGUCUGCAAAGCUAUAUGAAUUGGUACAAAACGUGUUUUUUUUAAAUGCAUGUGCAGUACUGAUUGUGUAUUUUGUGUAGAUUUUAGGGUCAUAUUGUAAAAUUAUCAGUUUUGGUACAUGGUAGAUGUAGUUGUAUGUUGGUUUCUUUAUACCCUGGGAAUUUUGUUGUUAGUUUAGUUUUGUUUGUUUAGUUCAGUAUCUGAAAUGUCUAAUAUGUGAAUAUACUUAUUCUCUAUUAAAUGGCAUCAAAUUUGAUUAAGGACUAAAUCAGUGCUAAAGUAUUAUUACUGCCAUUCUACUUCUCAGUUUUUAAGUGUACUUAUUACACUCAAAAUGAGCCUUCUUGAUUAGAAAUACAAUAAGAGGCUUAAUGGUAAGAACUACAUAUUUAUUAAAAACAUUAGCACAAUGUCAUUCCAGUGGAAGAAUAGUGAUGAUGCAAUCAGAGAAAUCCCCCCUUCUUUCUCAAACACACACACACACACUAAGUAAAGGGAAAAGAAGGAAUGGAACUUAGCAUGAAAGAGAAGUGGAUAUCUGCAAGAGAGAAGGGGACAUUAAUCAGUUUUUCAAGCAAGAAGUGUUGUGGUUUAUUGGCAUAGGAGAUAUUCAAUUGCCUUGUAAGCUGUAGUUUUUAGGAGCUUUGACAGGAACAAGUUGCACUUUUCCAGUUAUGGUGAAAGAAAGGCACUCCGCUGCAGUUAUUUAGGCUCCUUGUCAUUUGUCUGUUUAUACCCCUGUUUGCUCCUCUUUCUCAUCUUUAAGUCUCUGUAUCAGUGCCUGUUUUCUGGUCUGCCAAACUAUAGCCUUGAUCCUACAGUUGUAUUGGAGUUCCCUCUUCUUGCCUUUGCAAUGUCUCUCUCCCCACCUACAUACAAGUGCUUCCAGCCACAAGGCUCUCCUGCUCAAAUAUGUGAUGUUUACUUGCCAUGGGUCACCUUGUUUAUCCCCACAACCCCAAGUCUCCUGGCAUGCACAGAAGGAAGGAUGGAAGACAGGGAGGGACUUCGGUAUGUUACAGGAAUAGCCUACAGUGUUCGUAAAGGGUUUUCCUCAAUUGCUGUUUCUAAGCUUAAACUGCUGCAUAAGUGAAAUGAAAUGUUUGCCUCCUUUCCAGAAUGCAGACAGUUCUUGGAAGACAACCCAGAGAGAUUUAGAUAUCAAACAGCAUAAAUCUCAACCACUGUCUUUUAAUCCUAUUGAAACCUGCUCACAAUACUGCGUUCCCAAAGUUCUGUGUGCUUGUCAGAAAACAUGAUGGGCAGGGUUGACUGUGUCAUUAACCAAUCAUUUGGAAAUUGUGAGAAAUGCAGGAAUUCACCCCCCUCCCCAAUGUUUCUUAUCUUCUCCAAACCAAGGACAGAAGGCUGAAAAGAGUUUCUUGUUAUAAUGCAGUUAGGAGAAGAGAGCAAAGCUCUCGUUUGUCUUCCUCACUGUAAACUGAGUUAUUUGGAGGUUAUUAAGAGUACUGUGAGGACGUGGGUAGCGCUGGGGCCUAAACCACUGAGCCUAGGGCUUGAGAAUCAGAAGGUCGGCGGUUCAAACACCCGCGACGGGGUGAGCUCCCGUUGUUUGGUCCCAGCUCCUGACCAACUAGCAGUUCGAAAGCAAGUCAAAGUGCAAGUAGAUAAAGAGGUACCACUCCUGCGGAAAGGGAAACGGUGUUUCCGUGCGCUGCUCUGGUUUUGCCAGAAGUGGGUUAGUCAUGCUGGCUGCAUGACCCAGAAGCUGUACGUCGGCUCCCUCGGCCAGUGAGAUGAGCGCUGCAACCCCAGAGUCAUCCAUGACUGGACCUAACGGUCAGGGGUCCCUUUACCUUUACCUUUAAGAGUACUUCUACCUUUACUGAGACCUGUUGUAUUGGCAAGUAGAGUUGGUGAUGCCUGCUUUCCUUUUGCUUCUGUCUUUUCCCAAUUCCCUUUCCCUGAAAUUAUUUCCUAUACUGUAUGUAUUUCUAUGACAGUAUUUUUAUUUGCAGCUACAUAUUCUGAACUAUAUGAGUGAGUAUUGAGUGAGUAUUGAGUGAACUGUUCAUUAGUUAUAUAUUGCUGUUUGUUUGUUUGUUUACAGUAUUGUCAGGCUUAUUUUCCACCUGACUAAAUAGUUUCAGUGAAAUCCUGGUUAAGAAAAGAUCAUAACCUUUUAAAAACUAGAUUUAAAGAUACACCUUUUGUAGAAUGGCCUUUGGAGAUUGAAAUAUGACGCUUGAUAUUGGGUUAGAAUAAUUGGGCCAUAUGUAUACAAUUUACUUUAAUUGUUGAAUGAAAUGGGAUUUUAUUGUUGCAUCUUUUAUGUAUUUUACUGAUCAUAAAUCAUAUUGUGGAAAGCUAUAUAGAAAAAUAAAUAUUGAAAUGGUAGAAAAAUAGAAGUAUUGUUGGUGUCUGAUACAGUGGUUAGAAAAUUAUGGAAACUGAAAGCAGCUAAAUACAUUGACUAUACUGAAGGAGAGUAAUGAAAAUAAAAUGUGACCUCUAACAUUAUAUGUAAUAUAUGGUUUUGGAAAAUCCAUAUUUUCCAAAAUCAUAAACAGAACAUAGAAGCUGUAAUUCUUUGAGGCUCAAUAAACACUGUUCUGUAUUCCUGCAAGGAAUUUUAGCUGCUGUUCCUUCUAUUUUGUUGUACACAUUUGUUUUUAGUAAACUUUUCUUAGGUUACCUGUCAGACUCACAGCCAGAUGUGGCUUUAAGUUGAUGGGGCAUGCAGCCAACUCCUAAAACAUUUUCUGCUGGCAAAGACAAUGAUAGUAUGGAAGGAGAACCCACCCUUAAGAGCUGCCAUAUGACUACCGAAAUCUGCUCAGCUCUUUUCUUGAGUUUCUGAACCCAGCCUUUUGAUUACUUGAAAUGCACUUAAAUUAAUUCAGUGUUAUUUGUUUUUGUGGAAUAUAACCAGGUUCAGAUUACCAUCUACAGGGACAUGUUCUCUGGUAGUUAAAGGUCCUAUGUAAUGUGGUAAAGGGCAUGUUCUUGUCAAAACUAUGCAGGGCAUUUUCCCCUCUAUAGAGAUCAGUUUUCACAGGGGGGUGAAGCAUUGCUUACUUCUCGAAGUCCAGACAAGAAUCUAGCAGUGACAUAAACACUUUAAGCAUACUGCAUUUUUUGUAUUUGAAAUAAGGAAAAGCAAAUGCUGUUUGGGUGCAAACACACCAGCCUUUUGAGAUUUCUUAAAAGCUUCUCUUUCCAUAUACACCUCAAACUGUUAGUAUUAGAAGAGUGAUGUAUUGUGACUAACAUUUGCUAGAGAUGCUUGUUGGGAAAGUUAAAUUAGUAAGCUUUAAAUAUAUAACCUUAGGAAGCCUAGCUUAGAACGGUAUGGAUUGGUUCAUAGCAGACAACUGUUUUUAAUAAAUUUGGUUAAACAGAAUGUACAUUUGUUCCAGGCUUUCCAAGAAAAGUAUGAUUCAUAUAAGGUAUACCGGAAGGAUAUAGGACAGUAGAGGCCUCUAGAUGUUGCUGGUCUGCACUUCCUGUCAUUUUUGACACUUGGCCAAGAUGACUGAGUCUGAUGGAAGGAUCACAGAUUAGUCACCCUUGAAAUAAACAGUUCAAAUAAAUAUUAUUUUGGUGUUGAGAUUUAUGAUUAUCUCCUAAAGAUUCCCCCCCCAUCAAUCAUGUUUAGUAUGUUUUCUUAGUAAAAGUUAUUGUUGUUGUGUAACUUCUUACCCAAUCACAUAAUCUUCAUAUUUUGAAAUGGAAUCGCUACCCUUAACAUACUGUCUUGAGGAGAGCUGUGUUUUAAAAGCUCUUUGCUCAGAAAGUGCCAAGAUUAAAAGGACUGUAUGGUGCCACUCUGGUCCAUAAAAGCAGCAGAUGAUCAUUCAUUCACUAUAGUUGAGUGUGACUUGCAUCCUCUGGCCAUGACCUUCAAAACUGGCUUCAGGAUGCAUAUUUGGUACUGUGCACAAAGAUCUCCAUUCUACUCAAAUGGUAGCUGCUGUUAGCUUGGCAUUCAGAUAUGUAGAAUGGUGACAUGUGUUUUAAUCUGUUUUUAUUGUUCUUAUUUUUGAAUGUUUUAAAUAGUUUUUAACCCUUUUUACGGAUAAUUUUACUGUUUCAUUCAUUUUGUAAAGCACUUUGAGGUUUUUUGUUUGUUUGUUUACUGUCAACCAGAUUAUAAAUUGUAUGAAAUAAAUUCAGCACUAGCUCAUCUCUUCCCAGGAUAGAGAAAAAGUGGCUUCUGUAGCAAGCCUUUCUUUCUCGAAUUGGUGAUCAUAUCUGGCAGUACUUUGUUUUGAGAAUGCAUGCAGCACUUUUUCAACAGAUGGGGACAACACAGGUGAAGGUAAUUUUUAUUACAACACUACUGUAAUCUGUUAGAGUAGAUUUCAAAGCAGGUUUUUUUACUUUUCUUUUCGGAGCAAACUUCAGGCAUGGGGAAAAUAUGUUUUCUGAAGCUGUACCUAGAAGCAGUAGCAUUAAAAGGUGGUUGAGGCAUUUAAAGGUUUAACUGAACAGCUGUUCAUAAGCACUUAAAAAAAACUUUCCUAUUUUCUGUUUGCUGUAAACUGAGUAUUACUGUAUCACAGCUAUAAGAGCAGUUGGUAUCUUGAGUUACUAGAUGCCUGUUUUAGGCUUUUAAAAAUGAGAUGACAUUUAAAAUCUUACUUCCUGUGCAAUAAGAUAACAUUUUUUGUAUGAGCUUGCUGUUUUGCAAGGCAGUAUAUACAGUAUUUCAAAAAAGCAUAUGGUUAUAUUAGCAUUUUAUAUUCCUAGAAAUGUUGGAGAUUUCAAGUAAUGUCAUUUGCUACUUUAGCCAGCAGCACAACAGAUUAUCACUGAGUGUCAUUUAGCAGAAGAUUUGGUCUAGGCUUUCGGGUUUUCUGAUUAAUUCUGGGAUGAUUUUCUGGGAUGAGCAGAAAACAGGGCAAAAAGAAAUCCUGUAAACUAGUAGCAAACACCUUCUGUCUGUGUGUGCCUUUAUGUAGCCAGACCCACACUAUUCAUACACACAAAACGGACGUAUCCACAGGUGUGAGUGAACUCCAAUGUUUGCAGAAGUAUAACAAAUCCUUAGGCCCCCCCCCCCAGAAGCAAGUCAAUGAAGAUUGAACAUACUGAGGAUGUGUGUGAAAACAGGAGGAAUUAAAUUGACUACCCUGGAAGAGGAUACUGUAAAUCUAGCUUACUGGAACACUUGUUACAAAUACCUUGGACCUAGAGAAAAUCCUCCUAAUUUUCUUUCCCAUUCCCAGGUAUCAUUUUUCAUGGAGGGUGUAAUGUUGUUCAUCUUCUCACUGGGCCCUUGGAAAGGAACAAGGCUGGCAUUGGCCUGGAUAGAGUCAAAAGGAACACAAAAAUAAAACCACAGCUAGGAAGGACCUAUAAUUCUGCAGUGACGAUUCUUACGUUCCAGCCUUUCAUAGACACUACUGCCUUUCAUAGAUACCUCUUUCCCAAAGUAUAAAAAACCAUUAACUCUGCCAUGUGUACAUGAACACACUACAACCAAAAUAGAAAUUUUAAACCUUAUUCAGUAUUUGUCAUAUAUUGUUGUGUUUUAUUUUAGGAAUGAUUCAUGUAGGAAGAUUGAAGUGUAGUAAGGCUCUGAGUCACUCAGAAAUGUUUGAGCAGAAAUUUGGGGCAGUAUGUGAAACAGCAUAAUCCUUCUUUCUUUCUUUUUGGUUGUUUGGUCCAGAAUGCAAAAGGGUUCAUAUUGCUACUAACACUUAGGAGAUGAGACACUAGCCAAGAUAUUUACGGUACCUUAGUCUGGAGUUUAUUACAUCGAAAUAGCUGAAAUUCUUGCAGCUGUGUAAAAAAAGGAAGAAAAUGCCAGAUAAAUGGGGAUAUCAUAUAUUUUGAGUACUUUACCCAAAGCCGCCAGAGACGGAAAGCAACCAAGUUCCCUUUCCUCCUGGCAUGAGGAAGUGGAGUACAUAAUCUAGUCCAGCUGCACUGAUUUGCUGUAGUGUUCUGUUGCAUAGGUUAGUAUGCAACAGAACGUAGUAUGUUCUGUUAGUAUGGUUAGUAUUUUUUGUACUUUUCUAGCUGUAUUACAGGCUCAGUUAGGUGCUAGGUUUAAGAGUAUUUUAAAAUUUAGAAUGUAAACCCUGAAACAAGUUUUGUCUGGGGGGGGGGGACAUAGAACUUAUCUGUAGAUAUUUAAAGUAGAGCUAAAGACAAAGACAGAUUCAACAGUUCCUGGUUCUGCCCAGGAGGAUAGAUCAGAACCAGAGUGUUAAUAAUAACCAGAUGCUGGUGAAUAACUUUGCACAAUCGUGUGCCAACAAGCCUCUUACUGGUAUUGUUCUGAAGUGCUAAUGUUGGUGUUCUGUCAGAAGCAGAAUAUGUUUCCAGUGCAGCUAGUAUGACCCCUGUCUUGUUUCCAGUGCAGCUAGUGUGCCCCCUGUCUUGUACACUGUUGAUUGUGGAAAUGUGCUCUUCCUCAUGCGGAUUCCAGUCUGAAGGCUUAUACCAUGCUAAUUGAUUAGCUAUCAGGGUCUGCCAAACAGUUAACUGCUAUCAACUAAUUAUGACUGAGACCCCAAAUAAAAAAAAGAUCACUUAGGAGAUGAUGGGAGGCAGGUUUAAUUAUUAAGAUAACGUCUCUUUCCCAUGGGAGUGUGGGGAGAGAGAUGAGGAUAAUUUCUUACCAGGCUUCACAUUCUUUGCAACUAUCCACCGAUUGAUACUACAUCAGCUACAUUGAUACUGAUUAAAAAAGAGGCAGCUUUUUUCUUAUUUUCCCUGACCGUCUGCUAUAUAUGGCAUAUUUAAAUAAUGAACUACUUGUUCAAUAACACUAACUGUGUGAGGGUCUGACAAGUCACCAACAUUAUCUGAGUUCUUUGGCAUGACCAUGAUCUUAUUAGAACCAGAAACUUGGUAUAUGGUGUGCUCUUCUAACUCGUUUUGCAAAAUAUGCCCCCCCCCCGAGUUGUCCUUUUAAUCUUACUGAACAUGCUUGGGCUUCUGUUACAGCUUGACCAGACACAGCAUUACGGUAUUGCCAGUACUGUUUUCUAAGACAUUUCUUCCUGCCUCUAGAAAACUAGCCAGGAAUUCCUUCAGCUUUGAGCCAAUGCUUAAAGAGGCACCAAUGUUGGUUUCCAGUUAAGAUAUGUGAAAGUAUGUGUAUAGACAACUCAUCAUAAACAGUAUUGUGGAUUUAAUUGCUUGAAUUCUACGCCAAGUCAUUAGGUGAUUGAAGGCAUGCCUAUUUUACAUGCCAGCUCCAUUCCAUUCAGCUCAUAACAAAAGCUUAGUAUAUUGACUAGUCAUAGUUGCCUUUAGUAAAACUAAGUGCUCAAGUUAUCUCAGCUGGGCCCCGAGGCUUCUAGAAUUAGCAGAUAAACAUAUAUACAGUACAUAUUACCCUUCUCCAUAUGUCUCUAGUGCAUGUGUUCCCCCCCCCCCCUGAAAAAGGCUCAUUGUCUGGAUAUCAUGUCCUAUUAUAUGUUCACUACCUAAUUGACUGGCAAACUCUCACUCCAAAACCUUGCCUAAGAAAGAGACAUUUGUAACUAGGCAGUAGUUACUAUAAUCCAAAGAAUGCCCAAUGAAGUUAUAUUCAGAUGUGGCCUUUGCAUCCACGUUCUUGAAGUAGUCAGGGCCAUCUCUUCUGCCAAAGAGCCAUUUAUAAUAUCCUGAACCCAGGCAGACAGUCCCUCAUUACUAGAAAUUAUAAGUUGUGGAAAGCAAAGGUGCUUACAACAGAUAGGUCAGACCCCCCCCCCAAGUUCCUUGUUCACCUCCUGUUGUGCCUACAAUAGAGGCUAAUCAUGCAAUACUAGCUUAAAUGAAACACUGGCCAUUUUCUGGAUGUACCUAUUUAAAAAUGUGGCAUCUAGUCCAAUGUGAGUGAUUUUGUCUUUAAGGUGAUUAUUAAAUAUCUGGCCUCCAAUGGUUCCCUCAACUUCACAUGGCUCGAGCUGAAGUAGGUUCUGAGCCAACUGUCUAGGUUCUGAGCCACUCUAUCUCCUCCUAACCUGUUUUAUUGGUUUGAGAUCUCUAAACCAAAGAGCCAAGCAAGCUUUACAGUGUGGGAGAUGGCACUUAGGAGCUACUAAGUUUAUUGCUUUGGCCAUCUUUUCAUUUUACAAAGUGACCAAAGCAUUGCCAGAAUUGCCAAGCAUACCUACCAGAAACACAUCAGUAAAAUCAUCCAACCUACAGAAGUACAUGUCUUUCUGAAAAAAGUCAAGAUGACCUCUGCAAAGAUAAGUCCCUUUUCAUGAACCAUUUGGGUUCUUUGAGAGUUCUGUCCUAGGCUCAUUGUUGUUCAAUGUCUUUCUAAAUGACUUGGCAUGGGGCGCAUCUGGCUUACUAGCAGUACAUAUGAAAAGGAUCUAGGGGUCUUGGUGGACCACAAGCUUAACAUGAGUCAACAGUGUGUUGCAGCAGCAGCAGCAGCA